Molecule: ribosomal RNA, 650 nt
Filed under: uncultured bacterium
Lineage: Bacteria
Description: bacterial SSU rRNA
Rfam family: Bacterial small subunit ribosomal RNA
Source: RNAcentral
GUGCAUCGGGAGAGCUUGCUCUUUGCCGACGAGCGGCGGACGGGUGCGUAACACGUAGGAAUCUGCCUGGUAGUGGGGGAUAGCCCGGAGAAAUCCGGAUUAAUACCGCAUACGCCCUACGGGGGAAAGCAGGGGAUCUUCGGACCUUGCGCUAUCAGAUGAGCCUGCGUCGGAUUAGCUGGUUGGUGGGGUAAAGGCCUACCAAGGCGACGAUCCGUAGCUGGUCUGAGAGGAUGAUCAGCCACACUGGGACUGAGACACGGCCCAGACUCCUACGGGAGGCAGCAGUGGGGAAUAUUGCACAAUGGGCGAAAGCCUGAUGCAGCCAUGCCGCGUGUGUGAAGAAGGCCCUAGGGUUGUAAAGCACUUUCAGUGGGGAGGAAAGGUUGAAGGUUAAUACCCUUCAGCUGUGACGUUACCCACAGAAGAAGCACCGGCUAACUCCGUGCCAGCAGCCGCGGUAAUACGGAGGGUGCGAGCGUUAAUCGGAAUUACUGGGCGUAAAGCGUGCGUAGGCGGCUACCUAAGUUGGAUGUGAAAGCCCCGGGCUCAACCUGGGAACUGCAUCCAAAACUGGGUGGCUGGAGUACGGGAGAGGAGUGUGGAAUUUCCUGUGUAGCGGUGAAAUGCGUAGAUAUAGGAAGGAACAC